UCAGCUCGUGUUGUGAAAUGUUGGGUUAAGUCCCGCAACGAGCGCAACCCUUAUCCUUUGUUGCCAGCGGUUAGGCCGGGAACUCAAAGGAGACUGCCAGUGAUAAACUGGAGGAAGGUGGGGAUGACGUCAAGUCAUCAUGGCCCUUACGAGUAGGGCUACACACGUGCUACAAUGGCGCAUACAAAGAGAAGCGACCUCGCGAGAGCAAGCGGACCUCAUAAAGUGCGUCGUAGUCCGGAUUGGAGUCUGCAACUCGACUCCAUGAAGUCGGAAUCGCUAGUAAUCGUAGAUCAGAAUGCUACGGUGAAUACGUUCCCGGGCCUUGUACACACCGCCCGUCACACCAUGGGAGUGGGUUGCAAAAGAAGUAGGUAGCUUAACCUUCGGAGGGCGCUACCA
This 402-nucleotide ribosomal RNA is filed under the name Enterobacter sp. EBCn14.2. Its description in RNAcentral is "bacterial SSU rRNA". It matches the Rfam family "Bacterial small subunit ribosomal RNA", at positions 1055 to 1458 of the family's 1533-position model. Lineage: Bacteria; Pseudomonadati; Pseudomonadota; Gammaproteobacteria; Enterobacterales; Enterobacteriaceae. The record is from RNAcentral.